AUUCAGCGGUUAGCCACGGCGGAUGUCGGAUGGAAUGUUGGACGGAUCGUUUCGGAACAAAGUAAUCAAUCGCGUAGAUCAGUACAUUGGAGAAGACCUGUACAGCAGCGUUAACUUCAUCAUUGUCGAGAAUGUCAUCCCAAUCGAUACUCAUUAGGAAAGCAGUCGUGCUAUUAUAGCCGGCUCUAUUAAAAUUAUAGCUGAUGAUGCUGGAAGGGACGCUGUCAUGAGAUGUUUCAAUUCAGCGGUUAGCCACGGCGGAUGUCGGAUGGAAUGUUGGACGGAUCGUUUCGGAACAAAGUAAUCAAUCGCGUAGAUCAGUACAUUGGAGAAGACCUGUACAGCAGCGUUAACUUCAUCAUUGUCGAGAAUGUCAUCCCAAUCGAUACUCAUUAGGAAAGCAGUCGUGCUAUUAUAGCCGGCUCUAUUAAAAUUAUAGCUGAUGAUGCUGGAAGGGACGCUGUCAUGAGAUGUUUCAAUUCAGCGGUUAGCCACGGCGGAUGUCGGAUGGAAUGUUGGACGGAUCGUUUCGGAACAAAGUAAUCAAUCGCGUAGAUCAGUACAUUGGAGAAGGCCUGUACAGCAGCGUUAACUUCAUCACACAGUUCCA
Long non-coding RNA from Malaya genurostris, 610 nucleotides. RefSeq lists it as uncharacterized. Lineage: Eukaryota; Metazoa; Arthropoda; Insecta; Diptera; Culicidae. The record is from RefSeq and is a predicted model, not a curated record. The transcript is spliced from 3 exons.